Molecule: ribosomal RNA, 253 nt
Filed under: uncultured bacterium
Lineage: Bacteria
Description: partial 16S ribosomal RNA
Rfam family: Bacterial small subunit ribosomal RNA
Source: RNAcentral
UACGUAGGGUGCAAGCGUUAAUCGGAAUUACUGGGCGUAAAGCGUGCGCAGGCGGUUUUGUAAGUCUGACGUGAAAGCCCCGGGCUCAACCUGGGAAUUGCGAUGGAGACUGCAAGGCUUGAAUCUGGCAGAGGGGGGUAGAAUUCCACGUGUAGCAGUGAAAUGCGUAGAGAUGUGGAGGAACACCGAUGGCGAAGGCAGCCCCCUGGGUCAAAACUGACGCUCAUGCACGAAAGCGUGGGGAGCAAACAGG